This 800-nucleotide ribosomal RNA is filed under the name uncultured Bacteroidota bacterium. Its description in RNAcentral is "bacterial SSU rRNA". It matches the Rfam family "Bacterial small subunit ribosomal RNA", at positions 1 to 799 of the family's 1533-position model. The record is from RNAcentral. Lineage: Bacteria; Pseudomonadati; Bacteroidota.
AGGAGAGUUUGAUCCUGGCUCAGGAUGAACGCUAGCGGCAGGCUUAACACAUGCAAGUCGAGGGGCAGCGCGAGGUAGCAAUACUUUGGCGGCGACCGGCGGAAGGGUGCGUAACGCGUGAGCAACUUGCCCGUAUCUGGGACAUAACCGGUGGAAACGCCGACUAAUUUCCCAUAACAACAGAAGCGACAUCGCUUUUGUUUGAAAGCUUCGGUGGAUACGGAUGGGCUCGCGUGACAUUAGCUAGUUGGAGUGGUAACGGCACACCAAGGCGACGAUGUCUAGGGGUUCUGAGAGGAAGGUCCCCCACACUGGAACUGAGACACGGUCCAGACUCCUACGGGAGGCAGCAGUGAGGAAUAUUGGUCAAUGGGCGGAAGCCUGAACCAGCCAUGCCGCGUGCAGGAAUAAGGCCCUAUGGGUCGUAAACUGCUUUUGACGGGGAGCAAUAAGGGCUACGUGUAGCCCGAUGAGAGUACUCGUCGAAUAAGCAUCGGCUAACUCCGUGCCAGCAGCCGCGGUAAUACGGAGGAUGCGAGCGUUAUCCGGAUUUAUUGGGUUUAAAGGGUGCGUAGGCUGUUUGUCAAGUCAGGGGUGAAAUGCUGCGGCUUAACCGUAGAAUUGCCUUUGAUACUGGCAGGCUUGAAUACUGUUGCCGUGGGAGGAAUGAGUAGUGUAGCGGUGAAAUGCAUAGAUAUUACUCAGAACACCGAUUGCGAAGGCAUCUCACGAAACAGCGAUUGACGCUGAGGCACGAAAGCGUGGGGAUCAAACAGGAUUAGAUACCCUGGUAGUCCCCU